UAAUACGGAGGGUGCAAGCGUUAAUCGGAAUUACUGGGCGUAAAGCGCGCGUAGGCGGUUUGUUAAGUGAGAUGUGAAAGCCCAGGGCUUAACCUUGGAACUGCAUCUCAUACUGGCAGGCUAGAGUACGGUAGAGGGGGGUAGAAUUCCAUGUGUAGCGGUGAAAUGCGUAGAGAUGUGGAGGAAUACCAGUGGCGAAGGCGGCCCCCUGGAUCGAUACUGACGCUAAGGUGCGAAAGCGUGGGGAGCAAACAGGAUUAGAUACCCUGGUAGUCCACGCUGUAAACGAUGUCAACUAGCCGUUGGAAGGGUAAUCCUUUUAGUGGCGCAGCUAACGCACUAAGUUGACCGCCUGGGGAGUACGGUCGCAAGAUUA
RNAcentral lists this ribosomal RNA (376 nucleotides) under uncultured Gammaproteobacteria bacterium. RNAcentral describes it as "bacterial SSU rRNA". It matches the Rfam family "Bacterial small subunit ribosomal RNA", at positions 521 to 896 of the family's 1533-position model. Lineage: Bacteria; Pseudomonadati; Pseudomonadota; Gammaproteobacteria. The record is from RNAcentral.